This 409-nucleotide ribosomal RNA is filed under the name bacterium. RNAcentral describes it as "partial 16S ribosomal RNA". It matches the Rfam family "Bacterial small subunit ribosomal RNA", at positions 355 to 776 of the family's 1533-position model. The record is from RNAcentral.
UGGGGAAUAUUGCACAAUGUGCGAAAGCCUGAUGCAGCGACGCCGCGUGAGGGAUGACGGCCUUCGGGUUGUAAACCUCUUUCAGUAGGGACGAAGCGCAAGUGACGGUACCUGCAGAAGAAGUACCGGCUAACUACGUGCCAGCAGCUGCGGUAAUUCGUAGGGUGCGAGCGUUGUCCGGAAUUACUGGGCGUAAAGAGCUCGUAGGCGGUUUGUCACGUCGUCUGUGAAAUCCUAGGGCUUAACCCUGGGCGUGCAGGCGAUACGGGCUGACUUGAGUACUACAGGAGAGACUGGAAUUUCUGGUGUAGCGGUGGAAUGCACAGAUAUCAGGAAGAACACCGAUGGCGAAGGCAGGUCUCUGGGUAGUAACUGACGCUGAGGAGCGAAAGCAUGGGUAGCGAACAGG